Molecule: ribosomal RNA, 506 nt
Filed under: uncultured bacterium
Lineage: Bacteria
Description: bacterial SSU rRNA
Rfam family: Bacterial small subunit ribosomal RNA
Source: RNAcentral
AGAGUUUGAUCNCUGGCUCAGGACGAACGCUGGCGGCGCGCUUAACACAUGCAAGUCGUGCGGUACCGAUGGCAAGUCUUCAUGACGAGCCUUCGGUAUAGCGGCGGACGGGUGAGUAACACGUGAGUAGCUGUCCUAGGGAGGGGGAUAACGCCUGGAAACGGGUGCUAAAACCCCAUAAGCCUCGCAAGAGGUGAAAGUGUACUUGUUACAGCCUUAGGGUGUGCUCGCGGCCUAUCAGCUAGUUGGUGAGGUAAGGGCUCACCAAGGCUAAGACGGGUAGCCGGCCUGAGAGGGUGUACGGCCACACUGGAAUUGAGAUACGGUCCAGACUCCUACGGGAGGCAGCAGUGGGGAAUUUUGGGCAAUGGGCGAAAGCCUGACCCAGCGACGCCGCGUUGGGGAUGAAGUCCUUCGGGGCGUAAACCCAUGUUGUAGGGGAAGAAGAAAGUGACGGUACCCUACGAGAAAGCCCCGGCCAACUACGUGCCAGCAGCCGCGGUAAU